This 457-nucleotide ribosomal RNA is filed under the name uncultured bacterium. RNAcentral describes it as "SSU rRNA". It matches the Rfam family "Bacterial small subunit ribosomal RNA", at positions 26 to 518 of the family's 1533-position model. The record is from RNAcentral.
AGAAUCAACGCUGGCGGCGUGCCUAACACAUGCAAGUCGAACGAGAAAGUGGAGCAAUCCAUGAGUAAAGUGGCGACCGGGUGAGUAACACGUGACUAACCUACCCUACAGUGGGGGAUAACUCCGGGAAACCGGGGCUAAUACCGCAUAACAUCGUAAGAUCAAAGGAGCAAUUCGCUGAAGGAGGGGGUCGCGGCUGAUUAGUUAGUUGGUGAGGUAACGGCUCACCAAGACGAAGAUCAGUAGCCGGCCUGAGAGGGCGCACGGCCACACUGGAACUGAAACACGGUCCAGACUCCUACGGGAGGCAGCAGUGGGAAUUUGCGCAAUGGGGGAAACCCUGACGCAGCAACGCCGCGUGGAGGAUGAAGUCCCUUGGGAUGUAAACUCCUUUCGAUCGGGACGAUUAUGACGGUACCGGAAGAAGAAGCACCGGCUAACUUGCGCCAGCAGCCGC